This is a long non-coding RNA of Danio aesculapii, 953 nucleotides long. RefSeq lists it as uncharacterized. The transcript has 4 exons. Lineage: Eukaryota; Metazoa; Chordata; Actinopteri; Cypriniformes; Danionidae. The record is from RefSeq and is a predicted model, not a curated record.
UAUGAGUGUUUAUCUGCCUUCAUAAAGCUAGAUAACCGAAAGUAGAAACGUCCUCCUUAACUGCAUACAAGUUGAAUGGGAAGCAAUGAUCGCAGGGAAUCUGCAUGAGCCUCUCAGACUGCAGUGUCUUUGUGAGAGACAGGAGGACUGAAGUUAAGGGAGAAAACGCCAUCUGCUCCCCUCCCUUCAUCGUCAACGGAAGCAUUUAGUGCCAUCUGUGCCCCCGGAGAAAAAAAAAAAGAGGGGAAAAAAAAAGAAAGAAGCGAGAGCCUACAUCCCAAGUGCCAAUGGGGACAAAGAGGCUGCCAGUUGCCACGGACCACCAGAUGCUGGAAGACUGAAUGAGGGGUGUGCUUUCAGGAAGCCAUCUUGAUGGAGAAACUGGCUGCUGCUCCCUAAAAUGGCUGUGUUGGCAUGAGGCUCCUGGCAUGAAAUACUGUACAUAAAACCACAGUUGUCAUCAGCUGCUGGAGAUACUGAAGCCAUAUCCUGCUAUGUUUGACUCAAAUGGUCAAUCAGAUCACCUCAGGAAUCCAGUGUCCGGCAUCUUUUCCAGACGGCGCUCUGUGGAAAUUAAACAAGCAGACGUGAGGGAUGGAUUUAACAUGUGAACUAAUUGAUUUAUCUAGAAAGCAGCCUUCAGACAAUCACUAAUAAUUGUAAUCGGAAUGAUUUGGGCUGUUAACCCAUUUAGGUUUUUUAAAUUGUGUCAUAUCAAUUGCUCAGCAAUGUGCCUUAAUGUGUGAAAUGUUUACAAUGAAGUUUGCCAAUGCUGCAACAUGACAGUGUCUGAGAAUUUAUAUGUAUUCAAUGUUUUCUUGUCUUGUAUACAUUAGUGAACUUUCAUGUUAGAUACAGUAGUGUUGGUAAUGUAACUACAGCAUAAUAUCUAGACUUUUAUCUGAUUUUGUUAUGUCUAAAUGUCUGUACUAAUAAACAUGCAUUAAAUAUGA